CAAAUGUUUAAAUAAAGUGGGAAAAGUUGUCAAAUACAACAAAUUCAUCACCAGUAACAAAAUUAAGUGCAUAAAUUACAGCACACUACAAAUUUCUGUGACAUGUUAACCUCAAAAUAUUUUAAUCCUCAAUACAAGCAUUGCAGGUAUACCAUGGCUUUAAAUCGCGGUCGCGGUUGUAAUCGCAGUUGUAAUCGCAGUCGUUAUCACGGAUAACGGAAACAAGCCUGUGAUGGUCAUAAUGUAACAAUAACGGCCUAUCGCUAUGCAAAUUUUUUUAUAAAAUUUGCAAAGUUCAUAAAAUG
RNAcentral lists this unclassified non-coding RNA (305 nucleotides) under Hevea brasiliensis (rubber tree). The record is from RNAcentral. Lineage: Eukaryota; Viridiplantae; Streptophyta; Magnoliopsida; Malpighiales; Euphorbiaceae.